UUGAACGCUGGCGGCAUGCUUUACACAUGCAAGUCGAACGGCAGCACGGGGGCAACCCUGGUGGCGAGUGGCGAACGGGUGAGUAAUAUAUCGGAACAUAUCCGGAAGUGGGGGAUAACGUAGCGAAAGUUACGCUAAUACCGCAUAUGCCCUGAGGGGGAAAGGGGGGGAUCGCAAGACCUCUCGCUUUCGGAGUGGCCGAUAUCGGAUUAGCUAGUUGGUGAGGUAAAGGCUCACCAAGGCGACGAUCCGUAGCUGGUCUGAGAGGACGACCAGCCACACUGGAACUGAGACACGGUCCAGACUCCUACGGGAGGCAGCAGUGGGGAAUUUUGGACAAUGGGCGCAAGCCUGAUCCAGCCAUGCCGCGUGAGUGAAGGAGGCCUUCGGGUUGUAAAGCUCUUUCAGCAGGAACGAAACGGUGGCCACUAAUACUGGCUACUAAUGACGGUACCUGAAGAAGAAGCACCGGCUAACUACGU
This 482-nucleotide ribosomal RNA is filed under the name uncultured bacterium. Its description in RNAcentral is "bacterial SSU rRNA". It matches the Rfam family "Bacterial small subunit ribosomal RNA", at positions 30 to 506 of the family's 1533-position model. The record is from RNAcentral.